Long non-coding RNA from Gallus gallus (chicken), 797 nucleotides. RefSeq lists it as uncharacterized. The record is from RefSeq and is a predicted model, not a curated record. NCBI's taxonomy places the organism in Eukaryota, Metazoa, Chordata, Aves, Galliformes, Phasianidae. The transcript is spliced from 3 exons.
GGGAAAAGGGAACCAGAAUGUCUCUUUUCAUUAAUAGUGUCGAGGCAGCAUUCACACUCAGCAGUCAGUCCCUAGAUUUUGGCCGAUCCCCAACACCACCUUCCUACAACCACCACUGAGAAGUCCAACAGCUAAAAUCACAGUAGCAUGGCAUUUCUUCAGUGGUGAAUAUCCUUUGGUAGAGAAGGAGACAAACCAUUGGAUAUGGCAAAAGUGUUAUGCAUCUGCAAACGCAUUAUUGGCAGAAGGCAAACAGCAUUAUGACUGCAAGAUGCAUUCUCUGAUUCUUCAACUUUAGAAACUCAUGAGGUGUUCUGGAUUUGCCAGCAAUGUGCCUACAUGAUCCCAAGCUGCACUGAUAGAAAUGAUACAGGUGCAUGAACUAAAAUCUUAGAUAACUGAAGCUGAGCUACCCUCCUAUUUCAUAUGGAUUUCAGUUGACAAGUGUUUAUGAAGAAUCUUAGGUGGGCUGUGGCAAUUUGUGUUGAAAUCUAAGCAGUUUUGAGAAAAAUGUUCCUGAAUUUUUGAAGAUGCUUCUAUACAAGCUGCAAGCAUAUCCUCACAUUGCAGUGUUGUGAUGUACCUGUUGGACAGUUUUGGAAUCAAGUGAUUCAAAAUUUUGCUUUGCUUGAUUGGCAUUUUUUUACUUCUUGUGAUGUUUGGCGUGAGAGAUGUACUCCCUGUGUCUGUUCAGUUUUUCUGUACUAAAUCAGUCAGAUAUUUCACAUGAAAUAUAAUUCCUCCGUAUGAUUAAAAAAUAAUAAUAAAAAAAAGUAGCAAUACUACUUGUUCUCAAA